GACGAACGCUGGCGGCGUGCCUAACACAUGCAAGUCGAACGGUCCGGCACUCAGCCAACCCUCAGUCUAACUGUAGGUGAGGUUAAGUGCCGGAUAGUGGCGGACGGGUGAGUAACGCGUGGGCAACCAACCCUGUACAGUGGGAUAACACCGGGAAACCGGUGCUAAUACCGCAUGACACCUAGACAGUGCAUACUGACUAGGUUAAAGGAUUUAGCCGGUACAGGACGGGCCCGCGUCCCAUUGGCUAGUUGGUGAGGUAACGGCUCACCAAGGCGACGAUGGGUAGCCGACCUGAGAGGGUGACCGGCCACACUGGGACUGAGACACGGCCCAGACUCCUACGGGAGGCAGCAGUGGGGAAUAUUGCGCAAUGGACGAAAGUCUGACGCAGCGACGCCGCGUGAGCGAAGAAGGCCUUCGGGUCGUAAAGCUCUGUUCUUGGGGACGAAGGAAGUGACGGUACCCAAGGAGAAAGCCCCGGCUAACUACGUG
This 495-nucleotide ribosomal RNA is filed under the name uncultured bacterium. Its description in RNAcentral is "bacterial SSU rRNA". It matches the Rfam family "Bacterial small subunit ribosomal RNA", at positions 28 to 507 of the family's 1533-position model. The record is from RNAcentral.